This 799-nucleotide long non-coding RNA is filed under the name Brassica napus (rape). RNAcentral's name for it is "long non-coding RNA (BNAP_LNC023299)". The record is from RNAcentral. Lineage: Eukaryota; Viridiplantae; Streptophyta; Magnoliopsida; Brassicales; Brassicaceae.
AUCAUUUUGUUAACUUAUACAUAACUUUAGAAUAAUCACCGUUACAUCAAAGCUCAAGAGUGAACCAUUUAAAAAAAAUGCAUAUUAAGCUAGCAGAUGAAAGUCACCACCUUCUUGAAUAAGGCACCACACAUAAGCUAAACACGUCAACUAUACUUCAUUUCCUAAAUCUCAUAGUAACUCAGUCUACUUAAUACCUGCAAAAAAGAAAAAUAUAUGAAUAUGAACACAACUUUAAUUCAGAGUAGCAAAUACCCAAAACAGAAGAUGACCUUUUAUAGAAUGUUGAAAAAAGACAAUCUUAACAAUUCACUAUCCUGUUCAAAGCUCCUUAACACAUAUUUCAAACAAAUGAUCUAAUUGAACUCUGCUUAAAAAUGUUUAAACGACACAAUCUGUACAGUUAUUAUCGUUACCAAAGCUCAUUAACAAAGAUUUCUAUCCAGUUAAACAAACAGAUUGCUUGAAGUUCCUAACACAAAAGAAACAAAAAGAGUGAAAUCCUCAUUCACGAGACAAAACACGAAAAGAUUCUUCCUCAAAAACUGUGCCAACUUUAGAAGUCUCAUCACUUAUGCGUUUACAGAUCGAAGCUCACUCUCGGUUACGGAGUUGGUGCCGAAGAGGAGGAGUAAAGAGAUGAAGCAGAGAGUGAGAGUGAGGAGAGGACUCAUUUAGCCCGGAGAGAAUGGAAACAGAAGAAGUAAGCCGUAAAGAUUCAUUAUCUGAGAGAGAUAAUAAGAAAGAGAUUCAAGAUUUUUAUUCAAAACCUUCCAUUCUGAAAUUUGGAAGAGGGAAG